Molecule: small RNA, 476 nt
Filed under: Arabidopsis thaliana (thale cress)
Lineage: Eukaryota; Viridiplantae; Streptophyta; Magnoliopsida; Brassicales; Brassicaceae
Description: ATSL181470
Source: RNAcentral
AACGAAAAAACGUUUAGAAUAUAUAUUAUAUAUGAAAUCUAUAAAAUUAAAUAACUAUUAGGGACAAUGUCCCACAUCGGAAGUUGAGUAGGAUCUUAAGUGGUAUAUAUAAGAUAUGGGCCUCUCCUCCUAUUGCCAAUUGGUUUUAGGUUGGAAGCCCACAGUCUAAUAUGGUAGCAGAGCCCGGUCCGCACAUACUCAACCCGAUCCACAUCGGGCCGGCCCAAUACUUGGCCCGCCGAUCCAUGCCCAAACAUAUCGAGAUCAAUGGCUAGAAGAGCCAUCAUCUCGAGGGGGCGUAUUAGGGACAAUGUCCCACAUCGGAAGUUGAGUAGGAUCUUAAGUGGUAUAUAUAAGAUAUGGGCCUCUCCACCUAUUGCCAAUUGGUUUUAGGUUGGAAGCCCACAGUCUAAUAAUAACUAUUUCAAAAGAAAACUUUUAAAUUGAUUUGAAUUAUAAAUCUUUUAAUAAAAAUA